CCUACGGGGCGCAGCAGUCGGGAAUAUUGCGCAAUGGAGGAAACUCUGACGCAGUGACGCCGCGUAUAGGAAGAAGGUUUUCGGAUUGUAAACUAUUGUCGUUAGGGAAGAUAAAAGACUGUACCUGAGUAAGAAGCCCCGGCUAACUACGUGCCAGCAGCCGCGGUAAUACGUAGGGGGCAAGCGUUAUCCGGAUUUACUGGGUGUAAAGGGAGCGUAGACGGCGAAGAAAGUCUGAAGUUGAAGCCCGCGGCCCAACCGCGGAACUGCUUCGGAAACUUUUUUGC
RNAcentral lists this ribosomal RNA (287 nucleotides) under uncultured bacterium. RNAcentral describes it as "partial 16S ribosomal RNA". It matches the Rfam family "Bacterial small subunit ribosomal RNA", at positions 338 to 641 of the family's 1533-position model. The record is from RNAcentral.